UAAGUGAAGAGUUUGAUCCUGGCUCAGAGUGAACGCUGGCGGCAGGCCUAACACAUGCAAGUCGAACGGCAGCACAGUAAGAGCUUGCUCUUAUGGGUGGCGAGUGGCGGACGGGUGAGGAAUACAUCGGAAUCUACUCUUUCGUGGGGGAUAACGUAGGGAAACUUACGCUAAUACCGCAUACGACCUACGGGUGAAAGCGGAGGACCUUCGGGCUUCGCGCGAUUGAAUGAGCCGAUGUCGGAUUAGCUAGUUGGCGGGGUAAAGGCCCACCAAGGCGACGAUCCGUAGCUGGUCUGAGAGGAUGAUCAGCCACACUGGAACUGAGACACGGUCCAGACUCCUACGGGAGGCAGCAGUGGGGAAUAUUGGACAAUGGGCGCAAGCCUGAUCCAGCCAUGCCGCGUGGGUGAAGAAGGCCUUCGGGUUGUAAAGCCCUUUUGUUGGGAAAGAAAAGCAGUCGGUUAAUACCCGAUUGUUCUGACGGUACCCAAAGAAUAAGCACCGGCUAACUUCGUGCCAGCAGCCGCGGUAAUACGAAGGGUGCAAGCGUUACUCGGAAUUACUGGGCGUAAAGCGUGCGUAGGUGGUGGUUUAAGUCUGUUGUGAAAGCCCUGGGCUCAACCUGGGAAUUGCAGUGGAUACUGGGUCACUAGAGUGUGGUAGAGGGUAGCGGAAUUCCC
Molecule: ribosomal RNA, 683 nt
Filed under: Xanthomonas vasicola pv. musacearum NCPPB 4392
Lineage: Bacteria; Pseudomonadati; Pseudomonadota; Gammaproteobacteria; Lysobacterales; Lysobacteraceae
Description: bacterial SSU rRNA
Rfam family: Bacterial small subunit ribosomal RNA
Source: RNAcentral